This 253-nucleotide ribosomal RNA is filed under the name uncultured bacterium. Its description in RNAcentral is "partial 16S ribosomal RNA". It matches the Rfam family "Bacterial small subunit ribosomal RNA", at positions 524 to 776 of the family's 1533-position model. The record is from RNAcentral.
UACGGAGGGUGCAAACGUUGUUCGGAAUUACUGGGCGUAAAGCGUGUGUAGGCGGCUUUGCAAGUCGGAUGUGAAAGCCCCGGGCUCAACCCGGGAAGUGCACUCGAUACUGCAGGGCUAGAGUGUCGGAGAGGUUGGUGGAAUUCUAGGUGUAGAGGUGAAAUUCGUAGAUAUCUAGAGGAACACCGGUGGCGAAGGCGGCCAACUGGACGAACACUGACGCUGAGACACGAAAGCGUGGGGAGCAAACAGG